Molecule: long non-coding RNA, 2138 nt
Organism: Anolis sagrei ordinatus
Lineage: Eukaryota; Metazoa; Chordata; Lepidosauria; Squamata; Anolidae
Source: RefSeq, a predicted model, not a curated record
CUGCUGUGUUUCAGAUAUGUACAGCUAAAAAGCCAUGCAUAAGCUUGAUGUAAUAUUUGAUAGUGAGUUGGAGCCAAAGCUAUUUGAGGUGGCAAGUGUGUGGAGCACAUUGGAGCUGACGUGAACCUGCCAACUACCCCUACGUUUUCUGGGACGUUGAAAGAACUCUCAACCCUACAUUUUAAAAAAAGUUUUAUUUUUAAUCAUUACUGAAAACCGCUGCUGAAUCAAGAUCAGUGAUAAUUCUUUGUAGUUACUUUAUAAAUUGUUGUUACCUAAGAGUCAACUAGAUGAUCUAAAAGAAAAUAUUUUAAUGAUCACAUUUCUGUAAUUUAUAAUUAAACACUGUGCACUUUUAGAUACAGUUCGGGAUAUUUGAAAAAUAUGAAUCAUAUAGGUGCAGUGUCCACUUUAAAGUUGCUACAUUAAAUGAAAUCAUGAAUUUCAUAAUACACUUCAUGAAGAUUUCUUGGUUGUACACAGUUGAACCACAUCUUAGACUUGCAGUCAUAGCAAAGUUGUAUAAUCUAAAAAUAUAUAUAAGAAAAUAUAUAACAUCAAUUCAGAUGUUAUGUGUAAAACUUCCUUUUCUUCUGGCGUUUUUUUCUUCUCCUGGUGUUUAUUCUGGCUUCUCCAGUCACAGUUUGUUUUAUAAGAUUGCUAACUUAGGAAUUUAUUUAGACCAGAUUUGUCUUUUACUGCAUUAAGACAGGUUAACCAUAAAAUGACAUGGGAGUCUUUUGACCUGUACUACUUCCUAUCCCCAAAUUGUGUCAUGAUAUUAUUUUAUUUUUUCAACAAAUUUGUACAUGUGCCUCUCAUUCAACUGCAGUCUAACACUGAUACUGGAUUUUUGGCAGUGUGAAGUCUAGUUUCUGCAUUUUGUGUAAGAACUGGCUCAUGCUGUGGUAACUGAUCAGUUUGUACUCCAUUUCUGCUCAGUAUCAUUAGUGCCAUAAAAUCUGAUUAUCAUCUAAAAUUUUGUAAAUUGACCAAGAACUCUCUAGGUUUUUGGUUAUAAAUUCCAUCGUGUAUUUAUACAAACAGGAUUCUCAUUAAAUGGAACUUUUUAGUUGUGUGUAAUUCAUAUUAAAUUGUGGACAGACAGAAAUUUCAAAUUUAUUCAGAAAUGUAACAGGAAGGUUGAUAUAUAUAUAUAUAUAUAUAUAUAUAUAUAUAUAUAUAUAUAUGCUAGCACAAUCUUACUAAAAAGUAUACUGUAUACUUUGGAAAAUAGCUUGAGGAAUGUAGCAUCAACCCGAAAUUCUAAAAUUACAUACUUUUGUGUAAUUGUGCAGUGAAUAUAUCUAUACAUCUUAUAAAUUCAUCACACACACACACACACACACCUCUUUAAAGUAAAACAAAAUCUAUAAAAUACUAGGUUUAUGCAAUGCGAUCUCUUGCUAAUCUAUUCAGCAGCAAUAAAUAAGUAAAUUAUUAUUGCUCCUGUGUCAUCUUUGCUCAUGUCCACAUAGUUCGAUUGUAAGCUCUUUGGGGACAGGUGAGGUUUCUUUCUGACCUUGCAGUGAUUUAUUUUAUUACUGCCAUCAUUCUUUUGAGAUAACUUCCCCACCCUACUUUCUCCUAUACCUAGUUCGAUGAAAUUCUAGUUUUUGGUAGCCAUCUAUUGCAUUACUACCUACAAUUCUACAAAUAUUUUCCUUUUAUUGUUGUGCAGUUUACAAUAUUGAAAAAGUAUGUGAUACUAUAAUAUUUCAGUCUAAAUAUUAUUAGUAUUAGUUAAUGUUCUGUCAUAAUAAAUACGUAUUUCAUUAUUUUCAUGAAUGACUUGAAGCAACAGAUUAUUGUGUAUAUUCAAAUUAAAGUCAUUUAGUCAUUGAUAAUUACUUUAACAAUGUGAUAUUUUAUAUGUGUGUAUUUUUUCCGUAACUUUUAAAGUUUGCAUUUCAGUAUUUUGAAUUUUAAAACACGAUUAUAUAUACAUGAAUGCUUAAUUUGGAAUACUUAUUUUCUAUUUAAUAUAAUCAGUUCACAUAUAUGUGUGGCAUACAUUUGCACAUUCUCAGGAGAAGUGUAAGCUUUAUGAUGUUAAAAUAUUUGUAAGAGCCUACUACUAGUUACGGCCAACAUAUUUUGAUUAUGAACAGCAUAUUGCAAAUUAAAGAGAUGUGUGU